GGACGGCUCGCCGACGGUGCCGGCGGCGGGGGCCGUCGCCGGGUCCGGGGACGGGUCCCGUCCGCCGCUCUCCAC
Molecule: transfer RNA, 75 nt
Filed under: Streptomyces anthocyanicus
Lineage: Bacteria; Bacillati; Actinomycetota; Actinomycetes; Kitasatosporales; Streptomycetaceae
Description: tRNA-Ala
Source: RNAcentral